GGUCACGAGAUCCAGCGCUCAGCCCCGGCUUGCUGGACGGCAUCCCGCCCGCUGCGGGUGCCCCGGGUGACGACCCGCCCCACGCGAGGCGUGUGGGGAACGGCGGAUC
RNAcentral lists this non-coding RNA (109 nucleotides) under Streptosporangium subroseum. RNAcentral describes it as "SAM-IV sequence". It matches the Rfam family "SAM (S-adenosyl methionine) riboswitch aptamer". From Rfam's summary of the family: SAM-IV is a mRNA element that regulates gene expression via direct sensing of S-adenosylmethionine (SAM or AdoMet). SAM-IV riboswitches share conserved nucleotide positions with the previously described SAM-I riboswitches sequence analysis and molecular recognition experiments suggest that SAM-I and SAM-IV riboswitches share similar ligand binding sites, but have different scaffolds. The record is from Rfam by way of RNAcentral. Lineage: Bacteria; Bacillati; Actinomycetota; Actinomycetes; Streptosporangiales; Streptosporangiaceae.